AUACCGCAUAUCCCGCAAGGGAAAAGGGCAUAACUGCCCACCGAUGGAGGAGCCUGCGUAUCAUCAGUUUGUUGGUGGGGUAAUGGCCUACCAAGACUACGACGGUUAGGGGGCGUGAGAGCGCGUACCCCCAGAAUGGGACUGAGACACGGCCCAUACACCUACGGGUGGCAGCAACCGGGAAUUGUGCGCAAUGGACGAAAGUCUGACGCCGUGACGCCGCGUGAAGGAUGAAGGCCUUCGGGUUGUAAACUUCUUUUGCCAUGUUAGAGAUACCAUGGAGAAUAAGCACCGGCUAACUUCGUGCCAGCAGCAGCGGUAAUACGAAGGGUGUAAGCGUUGCCCGGAUUUAUUGGGCGUAAAGUGUUUCGUAGGCGCCUCGUCGCAUCUUGUUUUAAAGCUUCUGGCUCAACCAGAAAAAAGGACAAGAGAUGGAUGAGGUUGAAGAAUGUUGGGGUUACUGGAACUGUCGGUGUAGGGGUGAAAUCCGUUGAUAUCGACAGGAACUCCGAAGGCGAAGGCGAGUAACUAAGCAUUUCUUGACGCUGAGGAACGAAAGCUAGGGGAGCGAAAGGGAUUAGAGACCCCUGUAGUCCUAGCCGUAAACUAUGUCCGCUAGCUUGUCGCGUCUGACGCGACGGGCGUAAGCUAACGCGUGAAGCGGACCGCCUGGGGAGUACGAACGCAAGUUUAAAACUCAAAGGAAUUGACGGGGACCUGCACAACCAGUGGAUUAUGUGGUUUAAUUCGAGACAAACCGAAGGACCUUACCUGGAUUUGACAUGCUAUCGUUUUAGGUCUGUAGAAAUACGGACUGAUCUUAAAUUUAUUUGAGAUGGUAGCACAGGUGCUGCAUGGCCGUCGCCAGCUCGUGCCGUGGGGUGUUCCCUUAAGUGGGGUAACGAGCGCAACCCCUGUCCUAUGUUGAAUAAUCAUAGGAGACUUUCUGG
RNAcentral lists this ribosomal RNA (950 nucleotides) under uncultured archaeon. RNAcentral describes it as "bacterial SSU rRNA". It matches the Rfam family "Bacterial small subunit ribosomal RNA", at positions 166 to 1156 of the family's 1533-position model. The record is from RNAcentral.